RNAcentral lists this transfer RNA (77 nucleotides) under bacterium. Its description in RNAcentral is "tRNA-Met". It matches the Rfam family "tRNA". From Rfam's summary of the family: Transfer RNA (tRNA) molecules are approximately 80 nucleotides in length. Their secondary structure includes four short double-helical elements and three loops (D, anti-codon, and T loops). RNAcentral also lists the same sequence under 1 other name. The record is from RNAcentral.
GGCUGCGUAGCUCAGUUGGUCAGAGCAAUGGACUCAUAAGCCAGAGGUCGGUGGUUCAAAUCCACCCGCAGCCACCA